GAUGGCUAAUACCCGGGAUUAACAACAGAUGAUGCCUAUCAACUGUUUAAAAGUAUGGUUCUGCUAUCACUCUUGGAUGGGACCUGCGGUGCAUUAGCUAGUUGGUAGGGUAACGGGCCUACCAAGGCGAUGAUGCAUAGCCGAGUUGAGAGACUGAUCGGCCACAUUGGGACUGAGACACGGCCCAAACUCCUACGGGAGGCAGCAGUAGGGAAUCUUCCACAAUGGACGCGAGUCUGAUGGAGCAACGCCGCGUGAGUGAAGAAGGGUUUCGGCUCGUAAAGCUCUGUUGUUGGUGAAGAAGGACAGGGGUAGUAACUAACCUUUGUUUGACGGUAAUCAAUUAGAAAGUCACGGCUAACUACGUGCCAGCAGCCGCGGUAAU
This 385-nucleotide ribosomal RNA is filed under the name uncultured Lactobacillus sp. RNAcentral's name for it is "bacterial SSU rRNA". It matches the Rfam family "Bacterial small subunit ribosomal RNA", at positions 158 to 524 of the family's 1533-position model. The record is from RNAcentral. Lineage: Bacteria; Bacillati; Bacillota; Bacilli; Lactobacillales; Lactobacillaceae.